Pongo pygmaeus (Bornean orangutan) is the source of this 589-nucleotide long non-coding RNA. RefSeq lists it as uncharacterized. NCBI's taxonomy places the organism in Eukaryota, Metazoa, Chordata, Mammalia, Primates, Hominidae. The record is from RefSeq and is a predicted model, not a curated record. The transcript is spliced from 4 exons.
AGACGUGAAUCAAAGCAUCAUUGACUACAUUGGCAAGUUUGCAGUUACAUUGCUGAGGACUGCAUAUUUUUCUGUUUUGCUCAUCUCCAGAAUAUUUAGAGUUGCCUGUGAGUUACCAUGCACUUUGAUGUGAUGUUGAGAAACAAUAUGUAUGGAUUAGUGCAUUUGCUCAACGAAUGUGGAUGCAGCUCCUGCAACAUCUCAAGUAUGCUUCUAUGCAUUGGGGAACCACAGUGAAUGGACAGAGAAGAUGCCUGCACUUAUGGAACUCCCAGCCUAGCUCACAGCUAAACGUCCUUGAGGUCUAUCCAAGUUGCUGGUGGAUUAACAGUUAUUCCUCCUGAAUUGCUGAGCAGAAUUCCAGAAGACAAAAGAAACGUGUCUGUGAUCGCAUCCAGCAGAACAACCAAGGACCCACUCCCUCACCCUCUGCGCUGUCUCAAAUGUCUACAUACGACAAUAGCAAAACAGACUGCAAAUAUGACCCACUGCUUUUACAAUGUUAAAAUCAACUGAAAUGAUAUUCUGACAACAGCUUUUCUCACAGAUUACUAGACAUCUCUGCCAAAGGAAAUUAAAACACGUCUCC